GCCUUCGUGGUGUAAUGGUCAGCACACUCGGCGCGUAUUCGAGAGGACGGAUGUUCGAGUCCCAUUGAGGGCA
Molecule: transfer RNA, 73 nt
Filed under: Stegodyphus mimosarum
Lineage: Eukaryota; Metazoa; Arthropoda; Arachnida; Araneae; Eresidae
Rfam family: tRNA
About the family: Transfer RNA (tRNA) molecules are approximately 80 nucleotides in length. Their secondary structure includes four short double-helical elements and three loops (D, anti-codon, and T loops).
Source: Rfam by way of RNAcentral